RNAcentral lists this unclassified non-coding RNA (343 nucleotides) under soil metagenome. Its description in RNAcentral is "partial contains 5.8S ribosomal RNA, internal transcribed spacer 2, and large subunit ribosomal RNA". The stretch from base 1 to 120 matches the Rfam family "5.8S ribosomal RNA", at positions 35 to 154 of the family's 154-position model. The record is from RNAcentral.
GAUGAAGAACGCAGCGAAAUGCGAUAAGUAAUGUGAAUUGCAGAAUUCAGUGAAUCAUCGAGUUUUUGAACGCAUAUUGCGCCCUCUGGUAUUCCGGGGGGCAUGCCUGUUCGAGCGUCAUUAAAUAACCCUCAAGCAUAGCUUGGUGUUGGGCUUUUUUACGUCCUUGACUGGGAUGGACCUAAAAAUUAGUGGCGAUGGCUUUUUUACUUUCAAGCGUAGUAAAUCUCGUCUUGCUAAAGAGGAAAAAGAUUUUUUUUCUGCCAAAAAUUUUAACAUUUAAAGUUGACCUCGGAUCAGGUAGGAUUACCCGCUGAACUUAAGCAUAUCAAUAAGCGGAGGA